Molecule: ribosomal RNA, 484 nt
Filed under: uncultured bacterium
Lineage: Bacteria
Description: partial 16S ribosomal RNA
Rfam family: Bacterial small subunit ribosomal RNA
Source: RNAcentral
AUUGAACGCUGGCGGCAGGCCUAACACAUGCCAGUCGAGCGGAUGAAGGGAGCUUGCUCCUGGAUUCAGCGGCGGACGGGUGAGUAAUGCCUAGGAAUCUGCCUGGUAGUGGGGGAUAACGUCCGGAAACGGGCGCUAAUACCGCAUACGUCCUGAGGGAGAAAGUGGGGGAUCUUCGGACCUCACGCUAUCAGAUGAGCCUAGGUCGGAUUAGCUAGUUGGUGGGGCAAAGGCCUACCAAGGCGACGAUCCGUAACUGGUCUGAGAGGAUGAUCAGUCACACUUGAACUGAGACACGGUCCAGACUCCUACGGGAGGCAGCAGUGGGGAAUAUUGGACAAUGGGCGAAAGCCUGAUCCAGCCAUGCCGCGUGUGUGAAGAAGGUCUUCGGAUUGUAAAGCACUUUAAGUUGGGAGGAAGGGCAGUAAGUUAAUACCUUGCUGUUUUGACGUUACCAACAGAAUAAGCACCGGCUAACUUCGUG